GUAGUCUAUGGAAAGAGAUGUUUAACAUUCCUCUUGACAAGAGCCUAAAGCACACAUAUGGGUAAGACAUUACCACCCACUUUGUGGCAUCUACUGCUUUUC
Small nuclear RNA from Rattus norvegicus (Norway rat), 102 nucleotides. NCBI's taxonomy places the organism in Eukaryota, Metazoa, Chordata, Mammalia, Rodentia, Muridae. The record is from Ensembl.